Molecule: ribosomal RNA, 401 nt
Filed under: uncultured bacterium
Lineage: Bacteria
Description: bacterial SSU rRNA
Rfam family: Bacterial small subunit ribosomal RNA
Source: RNAcentral
UGGGGAAUCUUGCGCAAUGGGCGAAAGCCUGACGCAGCCAUGCCGCGUGAAUGAUGAAGGUCUUAGGAUUGUAAAAUUCUUUCAGCAGGGACGAUAAUGACGGUACCUGCAGAAGAAGCCCCGGCUAACUUCGUGCCAGCAGCCGCGGUAAUACGAAGGGGGCUAGCGUUGCUCGGAAUUACUGGGCGUAAAGGGCGCGUAGGCGGGUCGUUUAGUUAGAGGUGAAAGCCCAGGGCUCAACCCUGGAAUUGCCUUUAAUACUGGCGGCCUUGAGUAUGAGAGAGGUGUGUGGAACUCCGAGUGUAGAGGUGAAAUUCGUAGAUAUUCGGAAGAACACCAGUGGCGAAGGCGGCACACUGGCUCAUUACUGACGCUGAGGCGCGAAAGCGUGGGGAGCAAAC